AGAAGAUACGUUACAGAAGUUGUUCUCUCCCUUACUACUAUUACUACCACCAUUACAAAUGCCGAUUGCAGAAUAGGAUAGUUAAGGCUAUGACCUAUCAGGUCCCUAGCAGUUUAAACUGGUGUUUUAGUCAACGUUUUGAGAAUAGUGAUGGUGAUCCUCAUGAGCUUGAUAUAGUAACACCAGAAGAAGCUAAAAUGUUUCCGUGCUGUUCGGAAGCCAUUUGCAGUUCUUCAGUUUGAGGAGCUUGGCAUUUUCAUUUGCCAUGCCUUCUGGAUUGUCGGUAUUGAAGAGAGUCUUACUAAGCCCUGUGGGUUUCGCAAUGCGUCUUCGAAGCAGAGUAAAUGCUGCUUUUAACAAACAUCUUUUUAUAACAAAUGUUGUAAUAUCCCUUACACUGUCAGGUAAAGUGUUUUUGGAUUCUUAUUUGCAAUUUC
Molecule: long non-coding RNA, 437 nt
Organism: Macrobrachium nipponense
Lineage: Eukaryota; Metazoa; Arthropoda; Malacostraca; Decapoda; Palaemonidae
Exons: 3
Source: RefSeq, a predicted model, not a curated record